This 463-nucleotide ribosomal RNA is filed under the name uncultured bacterium. RNAcentral's name for it is "partial 16S ribosomal RNA". It matches the Rfam family "Bacterial small subunit ribosomal RNA", at positions 28 to 507 of the family's 1533-position model. The record is from RNAcentral.
GACGAACGCUGGCGGCGUGCUUAACACAUGCAAGUCGAACGGUGAACCUCUUCGGGGUGGCUCAGUGGCGAACGGGUGAUUAACACGUGGGCAACCUGCCCCCGGCUCUGGGAUAACUCCAAGAAAUUGGGGCUAAUACCGGAUGUUCACCGCUUCCCGCAUGGGUGGUGGUGGAAAGGGUUUCCGGCUGGGGAUGGGACCGCGGCCUAUCAGCUUGUUGGUGGGGUAGUGGCCUACCAAGGCGACGACGGGUAGCCGGCCUGAGAGGGUGACCGGACACACUGGGCCUGAGACAAGGCACAGACUCCUACGGGAGGCAGCAGUGGAGAAGAUUGCGCAAUGGGCGGAAGCCUGACGCAGCGACGCAGCGUGGGGGAAGACGGGCUGCGGGUUGUAAACCUCUUUCAGCAGGGACGAAGCGCAAGUGACGGUACCUGGAGAAGAAGCACCGGCCAACUACGUG